GAUGAACGCUAGCUACAGGCUUAACACAUGCAAGCCGCGGGGCAGCAUGGGGGUUGCUUGCAACCCCUGAUGGCGACCGGCGCACGGGUGAGUAACGCGUAUCCAACCUGCCCUUCACCACGGGAUAACCCGGCGAAAGUCGGACUAAUACCGUAUGUUGUCCAUUGACGGCAUCCGAUUUGGACGAAAGGCUUAGCGGUGAGGGAUGGGGAUGCGUCCGAUUAGCUCGACGGCGGGGUAACGGCCCACCGUGGCAACGAUCGGUAGGGGUUCUGAGAGGAAGGUCCCCCACACUGGAACUGAGACACGGUCCAGACUCCUACGGGAGGCAGCAGUGAGGAAUAUUGGUCAAUGGGCGGAAGCCUGAACCAGCCAAGUAGCGUGCAGGAUGACAGCCCUAUGGGUUGUAAACUGCUUUUAUGCGGGGAUAAAGGGGCCCACGUGUGGGUUUUUGCAGGUACCG
Molecule: ribosomal RNA, 463 nt
Filed under: Prevotella sp. oral taxon 317
Lineage: Bacteria; Pseudomonadati; Bacteroidota; Bacteroidia; Bacteroidales; Prevotellaceae
Description: bacterial SSU rRNA
Rfam family: Bacterial small subunit ribosomal RNA
Source: RNAcentral